AGGACGAACGCUGGCGGCGUGCUUAACACAUGCAAGUCGAGCGAGGCCCUCUCCUUCGGGAGGGGUGCCCUAGCGGCGAACGGGUGAGUAACACGUGGGCAACCUGCCCCUAGCACUGGGAUAACUCCGGGAAACCGGGGCUAAUACCGGAUAUGACCUCGAAGGGCAUCCUUCGAGGUGUAAAGGAUUCUGGCUAGGGAUGGGCCCGCGGCCUAUCAGCUUGUUGGUGGGGUAACGGCCCACCAAGGCUCCGACGGGUAGCCGGCCUGAGAUGGCGACCGGCCACACUGGGACUGAGACACGGCCCAGACUCCUACGGGAGGCAGCAGUGGGGAAUAUUGCGCAAUGGGCGAAAGCCUGACGCAGCGACGCCGCGUGAGGGAUGACGGCCUUCGGUGUAAACCUCUUUCAGCUCUGACGAAGCGAGAGUGACGGUAGGAGCAGAAGAGCACCGGCCAACUACGUGCCAGCAGCCGC
This 477-nucleotide ribosomal RNA is filed under the name uncultured bacterium. Its description in RNAcentral is "SSU rRNA". It matches the Rfam family "Bacterial small subunit ribosomal RNA", at positions 26 to 518 of the family's 1533-position model. The record is from RNAcentral.